RNAcentral lists this ribosomal RNA (492 nucleotides) under uncultured bacterium. RNAcentral describes it as "partial 16S ribosomal RNA". It matches the Rfam family "Bacterial small subunit ribosomal RNA", at positions 29 to 507 of the family's 1533-position model. The record is from RNAcentral.
AGUGAACGCUGGCGGUAGGCCUAACACAUGCAAGUCGAACGGCAGCACAGUAAUAGCUUGCUCUUACGGGUGGCGAGUGGCGGACGGGUGAGGAAUACAUCCGAAUCUACUUUUUCGUGGAGGAUAACGUAGGGAAACUUACGCUAAUACCGCAUACGACCUACGGUUGAAAGCAGUGGAUCUUCUGACCUUGCGCGAUUGAAUGAGCCGAUGUCGGAUUAGAUAGUUGGCGGGGUAAAGGCCCACCAAGGCGACGAUCCGUAGCUGGUCUGAGAGAAUGAUCAGCGACACUGGAACUGAGACAAGGGCCAGACUCCUACGGGAGGCAGCAGAGGGGAAUAUUGGACAAUGGGCGCAAGCAUGAUACAGCCAUACCGCGUGGGUGAAGAAGGCCUUCGGGUUGGAAAGACGUUUUGUUGGGAAAGAAAAGCGGCAGGUUAAUACGAAGCUGUACUGACGGUACCCAAAGAAGAAGCACCGGCUAACUUCGUG